RNAcentral lists this transfer RNA (74 nucleotides) under Loxodonta africana (African savanna elephant). It matches the Rfam family "tRNA". Rfam says of the family: Transfer RNA (tRNA) molecules are approximately 80 nucleotides in length. Their secondary structure includes four short double-helical elements and three loops (D, anti-codon, and T loops). Lineage: Eukaryota; Metazoa; Chordata; Mammalia; Proboscidea; Elephantidae. The record is from Rfam by way of RNAcentral.
CCCUAGGUGGUGCAAACAGUUAACAUGUUUGGCUGCUAACCAAAAGUUUGGAGGUUCAAGUCUACCCAGAGGCA